RNAcentral lists this RNase P RNA (356 nucleotides) under uncultured Prevotella sp. Its description in RNAcentral is "Bacterial RNase P class A". It matches the Rfam family "Bacterial RNase P class A". Rfam says of the family: Ribonuclease P (RNase P) is a ubiquitous endoribonuclease, found in archaea, bacteria and eukarya as well as chloroplasts and mitochondria. Its best characterised activity is the generation of mature 5'-ends of tRNAs by cleaving the 5'-leader elements of precursor-tRNAs. The record is from RNAcentral. Lineage: Bacteria; Pseudomonadati; Bacteroidota; Bacteroidia; Bacteroidales; Prevotellaceae.
CGGUCUGUCGCUGGUCUCAUCAGAGACGAGAGGAAAGUCCGGGCAGCGUAGGGUGCUCCACUUCUGAAAAUGGAAGCUAUUGGUGACAGUAGGGAUGAGGUAGAAGAAAAUAACCGCCGAUAAAUAUCGGUAAGGGUGAGAAGGUGGUGUAAGAGACCACCAGGCGGCAGGUGACUGUCGUGCUGUACCUCCCGGAGGCUGCAAGUUCAUGUAAACUGUUGUUUGAGGGUAGCCCGUCCGAGCACUUGUGCACAACAGAGGGUAGAACGCUUGAGCCAUUCGGUGACGGAUGGUGUAGAUAAAUGACAGACAGCGAGAAUCCGUUCUCGUUACAGAACCCGGCUUAUAGUUGCCCU